This 373-nucleotide ribosomal RNA is filed under the name uncultured bacterium. RNAcentral describes it as "bacterial SSU rRNA". It matches the Rfam family "Bacterial small subunit ribosomal RNA", at positions 42 to 447 of the family's 1533-position model. The record is from RNAcentral.
UCAGGCCUAACACAUGCAAGUCGAACGCCCAGCAAUGGGAGUGGCAGACGGGUGAGGAACACGUGGGAACGUGCCUUUUGGUUCGGAAUUACUCAGGGAAACUUGUGCUAAUACCGGAUAAGCCCUUCGGGGGAAAGAUUUAUCGCCAAAAGAUCGGCCCGCGUCUGAUUAGCUAGUUGGUGAGGUAACGGCUCACCAAGGCGACGAUCAGUAGCUGGUCUGAGAGGAUGAUCAGCCACACUGGGACUGAGACACGGCCCAGACUCCUACGGGAGGCAGCAGUGGGGAAUAUUGGACAAUGGGGGCAACCCUGAUCCAGCCAUGCCGCGUGAGUGAAGAAGGUCUUCGGAUUGUAAAGCUCUUUGGCGGGACG